This 517-nucleotide ribosomal RNA is filed under the name uncultured bacterium. Its description in RNAcentral is "bacterial SSU rRNA". It matches the Rfam family "Bacterial small subunit ribosomal RNA", at positions 772 to 1280 of the family's 1533-position model. The record is from RNAcentral.
ACUCAAUAGAUACCCGGGUAGUCCUAGCUGUAAACGAUGAGCACUGGGUUGAAGGGUCCUCCAUAGCCUUUCAGCCGCAGCGAAAGUGUUAAGUGCUCCGCCUGGGGAGUAUGGUCGCAAGGCUGAAACUCAAAGAAAUUGACGGGGGCUCACACAAGCGGUGGAGGAUGUGGCUUAAUUCGAGGCUACGCGAAGAACCUUAUCCUAGUCUUGACAUGCACGGAUUAACUCCUGGAAACAGGAGCCAGGCCUUCGGGUACAACGUGCACAGGUGCUGCAUGGCUGUCGUCAGCUCGUGCUGUGAAGUGUCGGGUUAAGUCCCUUAACGAGCGAAACCCUUGUCGCUAGUUGCCAGCGGGUAAAGCCGGGGACUCUAGCGAGACCGCCGGCGUUAAGCCGGAGGAAGGUGGGGAGUGACGUCAAGUCCUCAUGGCCUUAUGACUAGGGCUGCACACGUCCUACAAUGGCCUGCACAAACGGGACGCAAAGGUACGCGAGACCAAGCAAAUCCCAAAAA